UACAAGCGUCUUGUAAGUCGCUCUGGAUAAGAGCGUCUGCUAAAUGACUAAAA
Non-coding RNA from Salmo salar (Atlantic salmon), 53 nucleotides. The record is from Rfam. NCBI's taxonomy places the organism in Eukaryota, Metazoa, Chordata, Actinopteri, Salmoniformes, Salmonidae.